RNAcentral lists this ribosomal RNA (1447 nucleotides) under Lactiplantibacillus plantarum. Its description in RNAcentral is "bacterial SSU rRNA". It matches the Rfam family "Bacterial small subunit ribosomal RNA". The record is from RNAcentral. Lineage: Bacteria; Bacillati; Bacillota; Bacilli; Lactobacillales; Lactobacillaceae.
AUGCAAGUCGAACGAACUCUGGUAUUGAUUGGUGCUUGCAUCAUGAUUUACAUUUGAGUGAGUGGCGAACUGGUGAGUAACACGUGGGAAACCUGCCCAGAAGCGGGGGAUAACACCUGGAAACAGAUGCUAAUACCGCAUAACAACUUGGACCGCAUGGUCCGAGCUUGAAAGAUGGCUUCGGCUAUCACUUUUGGAUGGUCCCGCGGCGUAUUAGCUAGAUGGUGGGGUAACGGCUCACCAUGGCAAUGAUACGUAGCCGACCUGAGAGGGUAAUCGGCCACAUUGGGACUGAGACACGGCCCAAACUCCUACGGGAGGCAGCAGUAGGGAAUCUUCCACAAUGGACGAAAGUCUGAUGGAGCAACGCCGCGUGAGUGAAGAAGGGUUUCGGCUCGUAAAACUCUGUUGUUAAAGAAGAACAUAUCUGAGAGUAACUGUUCAGGUAUUGACGGUAUUUAACCAGAAAGCCACGGCUAACUACGUGCCAGCAGCCGCGGUAAUACGUAGGUGGCAAGCGUUGUCCGGAUUUAUUGGGCGUAAAGCGAGCGCAGGCGGUUUUUUAAGUCUGAUGUGAUAGCCUUCGGCUCAACCGAAGAAGUGCAUCGGAACCUGGGAAACUUGAGUGCAGAAGAGGACAGUGGAACUCCAUGUGUAGCGGUGAAAUGCGUAGAUAUAUGGAAGAACACCAGUGGCGAAGGCGGCUGUCUGGUCUGUAACUGACGCUGAGGCUCGACAGUAUGGGUAGCAAACAGGAUUAGAUACCCUGGUAGUCCAUACCGUACACGAUGAAUGCUAAGUGUUGGAGGGUUUCCGCCCUUCAGUGCUGCAGCUCACGCAUUAAGCAUUCCGCCUGGGGAGUACGUCCGCAAGGCUGAAACUCAAAGGAAUUGACGGGGGCCCGCACAAGCGGUGGAGCAUGUGGUUUAAUUCGAAGCUACGCGAAGAACCUUACCAGGUCUUGACAUACUAUGCAAAUCUAAGAGAUUAGACGUUCCCUUCGGGGACAUGGAUACAGGUGGUGCAUGGUUGUGCGUGUCGGGUCGUGUCGUGAGAUGUUGGGUUAAGUCCCGCAACGAGCGCAACCCUUAUUAUCAGUUGCCAGCAUUAAGUUGGGCACUCUGGUGAGACUGCCGGUGACAAACCGGAGGAAGGUGGGGAUGACGUCAAAUCAUCAUGCCCCUUAUGACCUGGGCUACACACGUGCUACAAUGGAUGGUACAAUCGAGUUGCGAACUCGCGAGAGUAAGCUAAUCUCUUAAAGCCAUUCUCAGUUCGGAUUGUAGGCUGCAACUCGCCUACAUGAAGUCGGAAUCGCUAGUAAUCGCGGAUCAGCAUGCCGCGGUGAAUACGUUCCCGGGCCUUGUACACACCGCCCGUCACACCAUGAGAGUUUGUAACACCCAAAGUCGGUGGGGUAACCUGUUAGGAACCAGCCGCCUUAAGG